GCCUGGAAAUAAUCAGUGCCUCUUCAAUGUUCCAGGAAAAGGCCUGUUGCUAGCUUUGUGUUGUAAAAAGUUAAUGAAUUUUCAUAUGAAAAUAGUUUUUUAAGGCUGUGGACAACAAAGACGUUGGAGGCUUUUACAUUUCCGUGAUCAGUUGCCGUGAAUGAGGACAUCUUACUUAUGUAAAUAGUAUUUACUGUGACGAACUUUGAGGCGUUCCUGGUGGGACGUCUGAGCCCACGACACGUUUCGCAACAUACUCCCUCAGACCUGUUUUUCUGAGGUUAGAAUGGAUCUUGUGAAACAUACCGGUGGCUGCCAUUGUGGAGCUGUGAGGUUUGAAGUGUGGAGCUCUCCAGACCUCCAUGUGUUCCAUUGCAAUAUUUGUACAAAGAAACAAAAUCAUCAUUUCAUUGUCCCCAAAGACAACUUUACACUUUUGCAGGGUUUGGAUCAUCUGACCACAUAUACAUUUAACACUCACAAUGCGAAGCACACCUUCUGUAGAAACUGCGGGGUUCAGAGUUUCUACACGCCACGCUCCAACCCUGAUGGAUACGCCAUCCGAGCCAUUCAUACAGCAGAGGGAGGAGGGCAGCAGCCAGCUGAAAGGAAGUUCCAAGAAAGAAACAUACUUCCGGAGCAGGCCAACAGUCACCAAGGAGAGAAAACAACAGUCUGGGGCAACAGGAAGAGACCGAG
Molecule: long non-coding RNA, 699 nt
Organism: Nerophis lumbriciformis (worm pipefish)
Lineage: Eukaryota; Metazoa; Chordata; Actinopteri; Syngnathiformes; Syngnathidae
Source: RefSeq, a predicted model, not a curated record